RNAcentral lists this ribosomal RNA (253 nucleotides) under uncultured bacterium. RNAcentral describes it as "partial 16S ribosomal RNA". It matches the Rfam family "Bacterial small subunit ribosomal RNA", at positions 80 to 334 of the family's 1533-position model. The record is from RNAcentral.
UUUCUUUGCUGGCGACCGGCGCGCGGGUGAGUAACACGUAUCCAACCUGCCCUUUACUCGGGGAUAGCCUUUCGAAAGGAAGAUUAAUACCCGAUAGCAUAAUGAUUCCGCAUGGUUUCAUUAUUAAAGGAUUCCGGUAAAGGAUGGGGAUGCGUUCCAUUAGGUUGUUGGUGAGGUAACGGCUCACCAAGCCUUCGAUGGAUAGGGGUUCUGAGAGGAAGGUCCCCCACAUUGGAACUGAGACACGGUCCAA